CUCUUCUGAAACUCUGAGGGCAGUUUUGUACCCUACCCCAGCUUCCAAUGUGGUGGGAGACCUCAGCAGUGGGAGAGUUGGGCUGCAGAUGCUCUGAUCCUUUGACACCUGGACUUGAGGUGCCUAAGACCCCAAAACGAAAAAUGAAAGUGCUCCCAGCCCCAAGGAGGUUUUUUUUGCAGGGGGUGAAGAUGCAGCUUCUGGGUCAAGAUGUCUCUGGGCUCUCGGCGGCCCAGUGUUUCGUUGGUUCGAAUCCUGGGCGCGGACAUGGCACUGCUCAUCAGACCACGCUGAGGCAGUGUCCCACAUGCCACAAC
Molecule: long non-coding RNA, 317 nt
Filed under: Equus caballus (horse)
Lineage: Eukaryota; Metazoa; Chordata; Mammalia; Perissodactyla; Equidae
Description: lncRNA (ENSECAG00000051037.1)
Source: RNAcentral